Molecule: unclassified non-coding RNA, 145 nt
Filed under: uncultured Ascomycota
Lineage: Eukaryota; Fungi; Ascomycota
Description: sequence contains ITS1
Source: RNAcentral
CAGAGUUAUUCUACUCUCAAACCCAUGUGAACUUACCACUGUUGCCUCGGCGGCAGGUCUCCCCCGCUCAGCGGGAGGGGCUCCGCCGGUGGACUACUAAACUCUUGUUUUAUCUGUUUCUCUGAGUAAACUAUAAAAUAAAUCA